This 229-nucleotide unclassified non-coding RNA is filed under the name plant metagenome. RNAcentral's name for it is "partial contains small subunit ribosomal RNA, internal transcribed spacer 1, and 5.8S ribosomal RNA". The record is from RNAcentral.
UCUCCGUAGGUGAACCUGCGGAGGGAUCAUUACAGAGUUCACGCCCUACUGGGUAGAUCUCCCACCCUAUGUUAUUAUUACUUUGUUGCUUUGGCGGGCCGUUAGGCUCCGGCCCGACUACCGGCCCCGGCUGGUAAGCGCCCGCCAGAGGACCCAAAACCCUGAAUAUUAGUGUCGUCUGAGUACUAUAUAAUAGUUAAAACUUUCAACAACGGAUCUCUUGGUUCUG